This 4455-nucleotide long non-coding RNA is filed under the name Sparus aurata (gilthead seabream). RNAcentral describes it as "lncRNA (ENSSAUG00010025026.1)". Lineage: Eukaryota; Metazoa; Chordata; Actinopteri; Spariformes; Sparidae. The record is from RNAcentral.
AUGGACAACGACAGUACCACUGCCAGGGCGGAGAGGAGCUUCUGGACAGUUUGGGCCUAUAUAACUGGAGCCGUCAGCAGAUUCUUCAGACCGGAGCCUGCUAACAUCAUCGUCAAUGACCCGAACUCCUUCCAUGAAUCCAAAGUUGACAGCGAGGAUGCAAACUGUGGUCAGGCGGAGGGUGACGCCAGAGGAAGGGAAGUCGAUGAGGAACCGCCUCUUGCAACAGUCUCCGUGCUUAGUGUAUCUCGGGCUGUUGUUGCCUGGGAACCUUGCAAAACAGAAAUCAACUUGGCUUGCGAUGAGGAAAGCAAGCCGUGCAAAACCCAGCUGAGCAGUGAGGGCACGAGAGAGGAACAGUCCAUCCAAACAGGAAGUGAUGAUACUGGUGAGCUCAUCGCUGAAGAGGCAAAAGAAGACGAACAAGUAGAGAUCGGAGAUCGGAAUUUUAAAGCUGGCGGACGAGAUGAGAUGCAGGAGGAUGAUGUGUACGAAGAGCAUGUGAAGUCGCUAAGACUUACAGAUGAUGCAGCGAAUGAAGAUGUGGAAGAAAGCAGAGGAAAAGCUGUAGCCGAGGAGGAGAGAGCAAUGACACUGGAUGAUCAUCAAAAAAUGGAUGAAACCUUGAUAAAGGUCCAGGUAAAGGAUGAAGAAGAUGAUAAAAUACACCAUGAAGAUGAGCGAGAUAUGAAGGCAGAAGACUCUGAGGUAAAUUUGUCUAUGAUCGCAGCUUUGAGUCUAGAAGAGGAGGACAACACGCACAUAGUAGAGGCGAGGGUGCUGAGAGACCAGGCACGCAUAGCGAUGACGCGUGAGGAAGUAGAGGACGGUGAUGGUGUGUUGCCGCUGGCUUCUGAAAAUGAAGACAAAUCCGAUCAAGGAGCAGAAGAAGCUGGAGACCUUUCAGACGACGAAGGAGAUCUGGAGGGAGACCCAAGAUUUACUUCAGUGCAUGUCGCGUCACAACUGGCCGACAACAACAGAGGCAUUGUUUCCGAGGAUGAGCUAAUUCUUGUUGGACAACAGCAUGUGAGCACGCAUAGCAGUGAAAGUGAGGACGCAAAAGAGAAAGAGGACGAGAGAACACUGGAUGAGACGGAGCAGGAUGCUGUAAUUGAGGAAGAAGAUGUGAGCGAGGUUGCAAGCGACCAGGCAAAAGAUGACUUCAGCUUGAAAACAGUUUCAGAAGAUGGUCAAGAAGAAGAAUUCGCGCAGAAUGCUGAAACGGAGCCGAUCACGGCUGAAGUCACAGAUGGAGAGCAAGAGGACAUGGCCACAGACACAGAAGUGCAAACCAAAACGAGAGAGACACAUGCUGUUGAACUAGAAAGCCAAGGCGAGGUGAGCAAUGGAAAUACUGAUACAGACAUUCCCGUAGGUGAGACAUUUUUUGAUAAAGAUCAAGCAGAGGAGGAGAGGCACUCCAGUGAGGGCGUCAACAAAGAUGGUUGCCUAGAAGUAGUGUGCACAACCACCUUGGUUACAGUAAACCCCGAAGGCGAGACUGGACAGGAAAUUAGUGGAGAGUUUAAAAAUAUUCCUCCGGGGACAUGUGAAGGCCGGCUUGUUGUGUCGCAGGAGCUGAAUUCUCCCACAUGUGAGGAAGCACGAGAGGGAGUUCCUGAACACAACAAUGAGCCAGGGCCAGAUGAAAAUGCAACACAAUGGUUCCUGGAAGCAGGAGAUUGCGAGGAAAUCCAGACCUUGCAAUUACCAGAAGAGGUGGAGGGCAAAGAGCCGGAGAGCCUUGAAAACAGUGGCUGGAGCACCGGAGCUGACCAUUCACUGGCGAGGGAGCGUAUGGAAGAGGAACAAGAAAGCCCAGAAGAGAUAAGAAACAGCUUUGAUUCGGUUGUAGAGGAGCAUGCUGACGCUGGAUUGCAUCAAGAGGCAGAAACCGUACUUAUUGAACCAGUAAUUCAAGAUUCGGGGGUUUUAUUUGACGAAGAGCAAGAAACAUUAUCGGCUGACUCAAUGAAGACAGGGAUCGAACAAUCGGAGAAGGAAUUCGAGUCAGACGUCGGCUCAACAGAUGAGAUUGAUAAGACGGUAAAAGAGCCGCAGGAUGGGACUGAAGAGCUUCUGGUUGAUCUUGAGAUGGAUGAGGGAUUAUGUGAUGUCAGAGAAACUGAUGCUGUAGUGCAGAAAAUGGCAGAGAUUAGCUUCUUUCAGGAGUCGGUAGAAGCAGUAAACUCGGAGCAAAACAGCUACAGGACACAGAGUUUCCUAGAAGACUUCACAGAAUCUGGAUUCCUGAAACAGUCGAUUGAGACUGAACCUCGAGCAGACUUACUUGAGCAGAGUGCUGUACAAAUGCAAUAUGCAGGGAGAGAUUUGGAGGAAACGUAUUUUGGGGUUAAAGAGGAGGUUGCACAAGAUGAAGUGCACAACGAGAAUGAGAUGGAAACUGGAGAGACUUUGAUCGCAGAAUCUGAGUCAUUGGAGACGCAAAAUCAGCUAUCAGACGCAGCACUUGAGAUAAGCAACGAGAAGACUGAAGCAGCGGGAGAAUCACUGACAAGUGAGUCCAAACCAGAAGAUUCAACUGUGAUAUCAGCAGAAGAAGUGUCAAGGCGUGUGACAGAAUCAGAAGGGAGUUACGCUGAAGACAGCCCAAUCAGCAGAGGUCAAGAUGUGAUUGAUGAAGAAGUCCUUGACUUAUGGAUACAGACGGCGCUGUCAGAGGACACUGAUGGCAUCAAACAAGAAGAAGGGCCUGAACCUGGACAACAAAUUGACUCGGAUACGGAGCAAUCAAAUGAGGAGCAACAUGAAGUCUUAUCAGUACAGAGAGAUAAGGUUAAAGAGCAGCUUGUGGAGCUGAAUUCAGAGGAAUCUGAGCUGAUGAGUGACACAGAAAUGUCUUCAUCGACAGCAGAGUCCGGAUUUUCAGAUCAGUCUCUCUGUGAAUCAGGCACACAGGGCAGUGAAACUCAGUUACAGGAUUCAACCAGCAGUGGAUCGUGUCAAGGCAUUGAUGACACGUUGGCUAACAUGUCAGAAUCGGCAGACAUCUCUGAACUGUCAACACAACAACCAGAGUCGGGGUUAGGUCAGGAAACGGCUGAAAAAGGGGAAUCGUUUCUGAAACGGGAGGAAUCUUCCGCUGAGAGGCAAACAGAGGCCGGACAUCUGAAUCAGGGAUCAGAUGAAUCACAAGGAAAAGCGGACGAAGAGAAUGGAUCACAGAAAGAUAGUGAUGCUGACAUAACAGACCCAGCAAGGACAACUGACCGGAAAGACACAGAAGAAGUUGAGUCACUAACAGAAAUGAGCGCUCAUGUCCAAGUCGAGGAAACAAAAGUCAAAGUUGAGCCUCUCGAGAUUUCUGGCUCUGCAGAUGAAGUCGAACACACUGACUCGGGACGAUCUAGAAGUGGCUCAGAGGGAAGCGUGUCAUCAGAAUCACAAAACGACACCAGCAUUGAAUCCGAGAAGACGUUAUUGAUGUUGCCCUCAGUGGACAAACUGCCCAGAUUUUCAGAAGAUGAUUCUUUACAUGAGCUAAACAGGGCUGAGAUGGCACCGCAGCCGACAUCAGAAGAUCAGAUGGAGGUGGACGCCUAUGUGUUGGACUUUGCUGCACAAAGGUCAAGAAUUGCUGUUAAAAACCCUCGUGUGAGGCCACCCAAAGACCCCCGCUCCCUGCUACACAUGCCCUCAGUGGAUCCCACACCUUCCUCUCGUCUGCCUGUCAAAGUACCUGCAGGUGUGCCUUUCGGAGGAUUGGGCAUUGGCGUGAAACUUCCUGGGCUUGGUGCAGGUUUUCCCGUUUUAAAAAAGACUCCAAGGGUGGUGAGAGAUGAAAAUAGCCAGGAGCCACUCUCACAGGGACCCGAGACAAAGCCAGAGGAGAAGAGUGACUCUCCCAAACAAGACGAGGCGCCACACAAACCAAAAUGGAUGCCACCAAGACACCCAGGAUUUGGAAAUCCGCUCAUGUCUGAGCUGAAGACGAAACUGAAGAAAACCACAAAAGAUUGAGAGGAAGAUAAAAUGUACCGCUUUAUGUGAAUAUCUGAAUGUAAUAUACUGAUGGCUGUAUUUUUUUGUGUGUGUAUAUAAGAAACUGAAUACAGUGAUGACAUGUUCUUCCUGCAGUUACUAUCCUGAUGUUUUGUAACUUUUGUAAUAAAGCUCAUCUGUAAGAGGAAUCAUAGUUUCUUGCACAAAAAUUGAAAAAAUUGUGAAGAAAUAUGCUGACAGAAGCAAGUUGUGGGGCCACAUGAUAAUGGUUCAGGUUGCAUGGAAAUGUAGUGAGUUACUGAAUACUAAUUAUAUGUCAGUUUUUGUUAUUGGUAAUGUAAUCCAUUUGAUAGCAAAUUAUGUAAUCACAAUUAAUUUAACUCCUUUUUCAAGCGAUGGAAGACAAAAUUCAUACAAGUUUGUAAUCUGGACAAAUAGAUCGACUUGAACCUUGAAUAUUAGUAUUAGUGUGACUUCACUGAUCAAAAG